This is a non-coding RNA of Camelina sativa (false flax), 2160 nucleotides long. The record is from RefSeq and is a predicted model, not a curated record. Lineage: Eukaryota; Viridiplantae; Streptophyta; Magnoliopsida; Brassicales; Brassicaceae.
UAGAGACAUAGAAGUUUCAACGGCCCCAAACGCUUGUAAUUUGUUACCAUAAGAAUUCAUCAAAAAAAAAAAAACACUUAAAGCUUACAGCUAACAUCAAUAAAUAAAAAGAAAACAAGGAAAAGAAGUCACUUAUGUUAUCUGGUGCGUAAAGUGUCGAUCACAUACAUAACAACUGGCUAUCUAUAUUCGUUACCUUCAAAAACUUAAAGCAAAGAUUAACUACAAAUCAAAGAACAAUCAAAUCCAAGUUGGAAUAUUUUCAAAAUUCACAGAGAGGUUGAAGCAAAUUGAAAAUUUCAUGUAGUAGCAUUACCAUAAAUUCAACUUGUGUUUUCUGAUGAAAUUUCAGAUCCACCGCCGAAAAAUCCUACUAAUUGAACUGUAUUAUCGAAACUUACAAUCAAUCCGCCCGAGACCAGGAGACAUCUUACAAUCAAAACUUCACCAUUGGAAACAUACAUCUCUUUUAUAAAGUUGACGGCGCAGGCGAGAUUCAGCAAAGAGCGACGUUUUCGGUAAACGAGAACUCAUCGAACUGCUUCAAUCAAAGCUUGAGUCGGUGGUAUUUGACCAGAGAGCGGAUUAUUAGAUAGAUUGAAGUGUCUGAGACUCGUCUGGUUAAUAGGAGGGAUUGAGCCAAUGGAGAGAUUGUCCUGAACAGUGAGCGUGUAGAGUCGAGAAAGAUGGAGCAACGACCUAGGGAUUCGACCGGAGAGAACUGGCCGGAGAAGUUGUUGUCGUUGAGAAAAACCGAUUUGAGAUUGACUAAACCGGAGAGAUCAGGGAUUGAAACUAAGAACCCUAAGUUGAUCCAAUUGGUUCAAACUCUCUUGUCGUCGAGUGAGCCAGUGAGAAGAUUCAAAAAACUCAUGAACAAGCUUGGAUACUCUUCCGUUCAUACAUUCUCUCUCUAUCACCUUGCUAGUUGCAGAGAUCUGUUCGUCGCCAUGGAAUCGAAUUAGACGGAUCGAUUGAAGAUUUCAAGCUGAGUAGAGCUUGGACGUCGCUAGAGAUCUUGCCGGAGUAACCAAACAGAGGAAUACUACUGUACAUGCAAAGACUACUAGUAACAACAACGACGUAAUCGAUGAAGAAGAAGAAGAAGCCAUUAAUUACGAAUUUAUUAGUUUGCUUAGCUCAAGCGUGAUAAAGAAGAAGAAAGAGAUGUGAAUUGAGUUCACGUAAAGUAAGGCUGAGUCAGUCCAACACCUAAAGAGACUUGCAGUCAUUUAAUUGGCUUCCCAUCAACAUAUUUUUUGACUUCAUUGACCUUCGCAUUUUGAAGGAUUGAAGAGCUUGUCCAUGGUUGAUGUACAUGUGAUUUACCUGCAAUUUGUAUCUUGAACGUGGACAGGUCAGGGAUGAUGAAUUGAAGAAGCUGAUGGUGCCAACUAUCAGCUUGAGAUGAUGAGAUGUCUGAGGGAGGUUGUUAAUGUUGACAACAACACUGUUGGUUGUCUGCAGUUCUUGGUUCCUAACAGAUCGUGGAACUCAUUUAGACCUUCAUGAAUUACCAGGAAAACAUCAAGAGGUGUGUGUGCAUCCUAUAUGAUCCCUCUUAAGCGGACCUAGGCGUUGAAGCUUUCAGAUUCCUUUAUGGAGUUGUACCGAGGUGGAAACUUUAAUGGCGAAAAGUUGAGAGAGAAGAAUUUUUCCUGGAUGGGUAUUUUUGAAGACAUACCUGCAAGUCUCUAGCUCUCUUCUAUGUUGAAGUCUUACCAGCUAAUCUUUUUGAAGUAAAUACUAAAUAGAUCAAGGUUUCAAACUCUGCACUUUUCAGUGCCUUCAUGGCCGAACUGGAGACUGAUACACCUGUCUCACAGGGCGAUUAUGAUCGUCUACACUCAUCAACCGCUCCUUUCCUUGAGAACAAUAUGGCAUUUUAGAUUAAAUGCAUGGAUGAUUUAUCUAUGCAACAACAAAAGUGGCCAAUACUACUACCGGAACCUGUCUCGUCAGCAAGCGCAACAGCAAGUCUGGCUCCAUAAGAGAAGGUGACACAAGUUUAGUUACAAGAGUAGGGAAUGUCCUAUAACCAUUGUCUUAAGCAACAAAAGGAAAAGCCAUUGAUUUGGAGGACAUCAAAUUUCAUCAGUGUGUUCGAUUGGCCCGUUUUGAGAACGACAGGACGAUAUCUUUUGAUCUAAUGACGUAUAG